CUAAAACCUUACACAGGAUUACCAAGGUCGCUGUGGCUGACAGAUUGUGGAGGGGGUUAAAAGUGGAAGCAGGGGGAGCCACUGGGGACUACCAUAGUCAUCUGAACAGCAGAUUUGGAUCAGGGUGGUAGUGGUGGGGUGCGAAGUGGUUCCAUUCUGGAUAUAAUAUGAAAGUAAAGCCAAGUGAAUCUGCCAUUGGAUUGGAUCUGAAUGUGAAGGAGGAAGAAAGAGAAAGAGAGAGAGAGAGAGAAAGUAAGGAAGAAAGGAAGAAAGAAAGAGGGAAGGAGGGAAGGAAGGAAGGAAGGAAUGAAGAAAGGAAGGAAAGAGAAAGAAAGAAAGAAGGAAAAAUGAAAAGAAAGAAAGAAAGAGAGAGAGAGAAAGAAAGAGUCAUGAAACUGGAUGAGAUCAUCAAGAUAGAGAAGGCAGAAGGAGCCCUGGGACCCUCCUAUGUUAAGAAGUUGGAUAGAAGAAGAACCAGCAGUGGAAAGAAAGAGAGAAAGAGAGACCAGUUAGACAGGAAGAAAAUCAGGAAUGUGCACAGGCCGGAAGCCAAGUGAAAAUAUUUCCAAGAGGAAGGACUGAUUAACCACAUCAAUGCUGCUAGAAGCUCCAAUAGGAUGAGGACUGGGAAUAAGUCUCCAGAUUUAGCAACAUAGACCUCAUGGACACACUGAGAAUCUGGUCUUUGCGGAAUAGUAGGUAUGAAAGCCUGUUUAGAAUAGUGCAAGAAAGAGGGGGAGAAAAGGAAUUAAAGAUGAUGAGUAUAUAGAACUAUUUCAGAGAAUUGUACUGUAAAGAGGAAGAAAUAAAUGGAGCAAAAACUGGAAGGGAAAUGGA
This 837-nucleotide long non-coding RNA is filed under the name Equus caballus (horse). RNAcentral describes it as "lncRNA (ENSECAG00000054613.1)". The record is from RNAcentral. Lineage: Eukaryota; Metazoa; Chordata; Mammalia; Perissodactyla; Equidae.